GGGGUCCGCGGUUUCUUCCUCCCACAGCGGAGGGGAUGUGAACACCUGCUUCGUGGAGCUCCUGAUUAUGGUGUACACAUGGAAGACCUCUUGUGCCAAGAGCAUCAUCGGCGUGAUUCCCUGCUUUCCUUACAGCAAAUGGUGCAAACUGAGGAAGAGGCUCAGUCAUCUCUAAAUUAUUUGAUUCCAUGAUAUACAAAGCUGAUGGACACAACACAAUGCCUUUAUUUUUAUGUGG
Molecule: non-coding RNA, 238 nt
Organism: Marmota flaviventris (yellow-bellied marmot)
Lineage: Eukaryota; Metazoa; Chordata; Mammalia; Rodentia; Sciuridae
Source: RefSeq, a predicted model, not a curated record